GAAAUGUGUGGAUCAAGAAGAGGCCGCUAACUUCUAUCUUUAGCGGUUUAACUCCGUUUACAUUUCU
This 67-nucleotide transfer RNA is filed under the name Dinocras cephalotes. RNAcentral describes it as "tRNA-Ser". Lineage: Eukaryota; Metazoa; Arthropoda; Insecta; Plecoptera; Perlidae. The record is from RNAcentral.